GACGAACGCUGGCGGCGUGCUUAACACAUGCAAGUCGAACGAUGAAGAAGAGCUUGCUCUUCGGAUUAGUGGCGAACGGGUGAGUAACACGUGACUAACCUGCCCCUUUCUCCGGGAUAACGCUCCGAAAGGAGUGCUAAUACCGGAUACUCACAUCGAGGCACAUGCCUUGAUGUGGAAAGUUUUUCGGAAAGGGAUGGAGUCGCGGCCUAUCAGCUUGUUGGUGAGGUAACGGCUCACCAAGGCGACGACGGGUAGCCGGCCUGAGAGGGCGACCGGCCACACUGGGACUGAGACACGGCCCAGACUCCUACGGGAGGCAGCAGUGGGGAAUAUUGCACAAUGGGCGAAAGCCUGAUGCAGCGACGCCGCGUGAGGGAUGAAGGUCUUCGGAUUGUAAACCUCUUUCAGUAGGGACGAAGCGAAAGUGACGGUACCUAAAGAAGAAGCACCGGCUAACUACGUGCCAGCAGCCGCCGCAG
This 482-nucleotide ribosomal RNA is filed under the name uncultured bacterium. RNAcentral's name for it is "partial 16S ribosomal RNA". It matches the Rfam family "Bacterial small subunit ribosomal RNA", at positions 28 to 523 of the family's 1533-position model. The record is from RNAcentral.